GCGAGACUGCCGUGGAUAACACGGAGGAAGGUGGGGACGACGUCAAAUCAUCAUGCCCCUUAUGUCCUGGGCUACACACGUACUACAAUGGCAACAACAAAGAGCAGCAAGUCCGCGAGGCCAAGCGAAUCUCAAAAUGUUGUCCCAGUUCGGAUUGCAGGCUGCAACUCGCCUGCAUGAAGUCGGAAUUGCUAGUAAUGGCAGGUCAGCAUACUGCCGUGAAUACGUUCCCGGGCCUUGUACACACCGCCCGUCACACCAUGAGAGUCUGCAACACCCGAAGUCGGUAGUCUGACUGUAAAGAGGACGCCGCCGAAGGUGGG
Molecule: ribosomal RNA, 323 nt
Filed under: uncultured bacterium
Lineage: Bacteria
Description: bacterial SSU rRNA
Rfam family: Bacterial small subunit ribosomal RNA
Source: RNAcentral